RNAcentral lists this ribosomal RNA (677 nucleotides) under fungal endophyte sp. g46. RNAcentral's name for it is "eukaryotic LSU rRNA". The stretch from base 300 to 453 matches the Rfam family "5.8S ribosomal RNA". The record is from RNAcentral. Lineage: Eukaryota; Fungi.
CUUGGUCAUUUAGAGGAAGUAAAAGUCGUAACAAGGUUUCCGUAGGUGAACCUGCGGAAGGAUCAUUACUGAAAUGUAAUAACUUCUAUUGAAAGGUUCCAGAGUAGGCGCUACAACGCCGAAAUGACCUUCUCACCCUUGUGUACUCACUAUGUUGCUUUGGCGGGUCGACCUGGUUCCGACCCAGGCGGCCGGCGCCCCCAGCCUUAACUGGCCAGGACGCCCGGCUAAGUGCCCGCCAGUAUACAAAACUCAAGAAUUCAUUUUGUGAAGUCCUGAUAUAUCAUUUAAUUGAUUAAAACUUUCAACAACGGAUCUCUUGGUUCUGGCAUCGAUGAAGAACGCAGCGAAAUGCGAUAAGUAAUGUGAAUUGCAGAAUUCAGUGAAUCAUCGAAUCUUUGAACGCACAUUGCGCCCUCUGGUAUUCCGGAGGGCAUGCCUGUUCGAGCGUCAUUUCAACCCUCAAGCUCUGCUUGGUAUUGGGCAACGUCCGCUGCCGGACGUGCCUUGAAGACCUCGGCGACGGCGUCCUAGCCUCGAGCGUAGUAGUAAAAUAUCUCGCUUUGGAGUGCUGGGCGACGGCCGCCGGACAAUCGACCUUCGGUCUAUUUUUCCAAGGUUGACCUCGGAUCAGGUAGGGAUACCCGCUGAACUUAAGCAUAUCAAUAAGCGGAGGA